RNAcentral lists this ribosomal RNA (106 nucleotides) under Peromyscus maniculatus bairdii (prairie deer mouse). Lineage: Eukaryota; Metazoa; Chordata; Mammalia; Rodentia; Cricetidae. The record is from RNAcentral.
UAUAGACAGCACAUCUGCCCCUGAACACUCCCAUCGAGAUCUUGGAAGCUCAGCGGGGCUGGACCCGGUUAGUACUUGAGUGGGAGAACACAUGUCUUAGUGAUAA